GACGAACGCUGGCGGCGUGCUUAACACAUGCAAGUCGAACGGAAAGGCCCUGCUUUUGUGGGGUGCUCGAGUGGCGAACGGGUGAGUAACACGUGAGUAACCUGCCCUUGACUUUGGGAUAACUUCAGGAAACUGGGGCUAAUACCGGAUAGGAGCUCCUGCUGCAUGGUGGGGGUUGGAAAGUUUCGGCGGUUGGGGAUGGACUCGCGGCUUAUCAGCUUGUUGGUGGGGUAGUGGCUUACCAAGGCUUUGACGGGUAGCCGGCCUGAGAGGGUGACCGGCCACAUUGGGACUGAGGUACGGCCCAGAAGCCUACGGGAGGCAGCAGGGGGGAGUAUUGCACAAUGGGCGGAAGCCUGAUGCAGAAACGCCGCGUGCGGGAUGACGGCCUUCGGGUUAUAAACCGCUUUCGCCUGUGACGAAGCGUGAGUGACGGUAAUGGGUAAAGAAGCACCGGCUAACUACGUG
Molecule: ribosomal RNA, 468 nt
Filed under: uncultured bacterium
Lineage: Bacteria
Description: partial 16S ribosomal RNA
Rfam family: Bacterial small subunit ribosomal RNA
Source: RNAcentral